RNAcentral lists this ribosomal RNA (331 nucleotides) under uncultured bacterium. RNAcentral's name for it is "bacterial SSU rRNA". It matches the Rfam family "Bacterial small subunit ribosomal RNA", at positions 568 to 898 of the family's 1533-position model. The record is from RNAcentral.
UGCGCAGGCGGUUCGUUUUGUGGGUGGUGAAAUCUCCUGGCUCAACUGGGAGGGGCCAUCCAAACGGGCGAACUUGAGGCGUGGAGAGGGACGUGGAAUUCCGGGUGGAGCGGUGAAAUGCGUAGAGAUCCGGAGGAACACCGACGGCGAAGGCAGCGUCCUGGCCACGACCUGACGCUCAGGCACGAAAGCUGGGGGAGCAAACAGGAUUAGAUACCCUGGUAGUCCCAGCUGUAAACGAUGUCCACCAGGUGCUGGAGGUAUCGACCCCUUCGGUGCCGAAGCUAACGUGAUGAGUGGACCGCCUGGGGAGUACGGCCGCAAGGUUAAA